RNAcentral lists this transfer RNA (63 nucleotides) under Fukomys damarensis (Damara mole-rat). It matches the Rfam family "tRNA". From Rfam's summary of the family: Transfer RNA (tRNA) molecules are approximately 80 nucleotides in length. Their secondary structure includes four short double-helical elements and three loops (D, anti-codon, and T loops). The record is from Rfam by way of RNAcentral. Lineage: Eukaryota; Metazoa; Chordata; Mammalia; Rodentia; Bathyergidae.
GGGGAUGUGGCUCAGUGAUAGAGCACUUGCCUGGCAUGUAUGAGGCCCUAGGUUCUAUCUCCA